This 201-nucleotide ribosomal RNA is filed under the name uncultured bacterium. Its description in RNAcentral is "partial 16S ribosomal RNA". It matches the Rfam family "Bacterial small subunit ribosomal RNA", at positions 328 to 539 of the family's 1533-position model. The record is from RNAcentral.
ACGCUCGACACCUACUGGAGGCAGCAGUUAGGAAUAUUGGGCAAUGGAGGAAACUCUGACCCAGCAACGCCGCGUGAAGGAAGAAGGUUUUCGGAUUGUAAACCUCUGAUCUAGGGGAAGAAGGAAGUGACGGUACCCUAGGAGAAAGCCACGGCUAACUACGUGCCAGCAGCCGUGGUAAUCUGAGCGGGCUGGCAAGGC